GCCUCAUGCUUCAACUACCCCCUCUUUUGUUGAAGACGUCGAGAGUUAAGAGUCCCACAUUGAAAGCCUGGUGAUGAAAACAAGGCAGCAGCGAUUGUGGAAUCCCGGUGAGUCUCGAUCUCAUGUUCCUCAAAUUUUUGGUUGCGCGUUGGUCGGUGUUUCUGAAAACCGUACUCUGGUGAAAACGAAAACCAUUUUUGUUGAACUGUUGUAACUUAAUUUUCUGCAGGAGUUCACACUUUUGAAGCAUCAUGUUGGGAAAAUGUAAUCUGUUUAACAUUGCUUAUAAACAUUAAAGAGACUGGUGUCGAUAUGUCUUUUCAUUCUUGACUAACUUAAUUGUGUGUGUAUAUAUAGUGGGUCAGUCGAGACCCUUUGGAUUGGUUUUGUUAUGAAAAGUUGUCUGUUUGAACAAUGUUCCACUAAGCUCAAUGCUGUAAUGUUAAUCAUGGUGUGUAAAGGCUAUUAAACUCAUAUAUUUUAAUUUAUUAUUUUAAACCGCUACAAUAAAAUUUCUUGACUCAUAUCUAGCGACUUGUGUUAUGUUUUUGUAUAAUAUUCAAACUAGUUCGAGUAUGGUGUAUUUCUUCAAAAACAAAAUGUUUGUUAAUGGUAUUCUGAUGUGAGUGAGUCCAGUGUGUUUCCUUUGUGCUGGCACGUAUCUUUGUAGCUGUGGUUUGCCUCAGUAAAAUACAGGAGGCAUUUCCUACAAGAUACUUUUAAUCCGUUAUUAUAUGAAUGAUGUCUUGUUCUAAUGAGCUUAAUGUAUGAGA
Molecule: long non-coding RNA, 773 nt
Organism: Xyrauchen texanus (razorback sucker)
Lineage: Eukaryota; Metazoa; Chordata; Actinopteri; Cypriniformes; Catostomidae
Exons: 3
Source: RefSeq, a predicted model, not a curated record